CAUACCAUGCUGAAUAUACCGGUUCUCGUUAGAUCACCGAAGUCAAGCAUCAUUGAGCGCGGUCAGUACUUGGGUGGGUGACCACCUGGGAACACCGCGUGCC
RNAcentral lists this ribosomal RNA (103 nucleotides) under Caerostris darwini. Lineage: Eukaryota; Metazoa; Arthropoda; Arachnida; Araneae; Araneidae. The record is from RNAcentral.